CCUGCCCAAGAGAUCGGGAUAACACCUGGAAACAGAUGCUAAUACCGGAUAACAACAGGUGAUGCCUAUCACUGUUUAAAAGAUGGUUCUGCUAUCACUCUUGGAUGGACCUGCGGUGCAUUAGCUAGUUGGCAGGGUAACGGCCUACCAAGGCGAUGAUGCAUAGCCGAGUUGAGAGACUGAUCGGCCACAUUGGGACUGAGACACGGCCCAAACUCCUACGGGAGGCAGCAGCG
RNAcentral lists this ribosomal RNA (236 nucleotides) under uncultured Lactobacillus sp. Its description in RNAcentral is "partial 16S ribosomal RNA". It matches the Rfam family "Bacterial small subunit ribosomal RNA", at positions 125 to 356 of the family's 1533-position model. The record is from RNAcentral. Lineage: Bacteria; Bacillati; Bacillota; Bacilli; Lactobacillales; Lactobacillaceae.